RNAcentral lists this transfer RNA (74 nucleotides) under Deltaproteobacteria bacterium. Its description in RNAcentral is "tRNA-Ile". It matches the Rfam family "tRNA". From Rfam's summary of the family: Transfer RNA (tRNA) molecules are approximately 80 nucleotides in length. Their secondary structure includes four short double-helical elements and three loops (D, anti-codon, and T loops). Lineage: Bacteria; Pseudomonadati; Myxococcota; Myxococcia. The record is from RNAcentral.
GGGCCUAUAGCUCAGCUGGUUAGAGCAACCGGCUCAUAACCGGUAGGUCCCUGGUUCAAACCCAGGUGGGCCCA